This 1326-nucleotide ribosomal RNA is filed under the name Triticum aestivum (bread wheat). RNAcentral describes it as "partial small subunit ribosomal RNA". The record is from RNAcentral. Lineage: Eukaryota; Viridiplantae; Streptophyta; Magnoliopsida; Poales; Poaceae.
AUGGCUAUUCUAGAUAAGCAAGAUGAAGAUGAUGAUUUUCAUGGACAUGAUGAAAGCCUGAGGCAUGAGAUAGAUAGUGUUAGUCAAGUGAUUUAUCGUACCAUGAGGGAUAUCACAUUUGUAAUGAUUUUUCUUAAUGGGGGUGAUGAUGAAAUUGACGUAGGUCUCAUGGGUAUUCCUCUAGGAAGAUAUGACAGCAAGAACAACAGGGUGAUAUGGACCUUCAACAGAAGCUGCCUGAGCAUGCAUCACGACCAUUCCGAGGUAGCAAAAAAGCUAACAUAUACUCAGCUUUUCUGUUAUUGCGAUAUCAAACUAUUGACAAGCUCACAGUUUCUUGGACUGCUACAUCAACAAGCUGCUUCCAUCGUUGCUCGCAACCCCUGUAUGCUGGACAUCAACCCAACAAUUCUUGUAGAUUGCUGUCUCUAUGAGUUAUUCCUGCAUUAUGAUUUCCACACGGCCAGUAAAUUUGAUUGGGUUUCUCAUGAUUCCAACUAUUGGACAUGCGAUGCAAUCAUACAAGGGGACAGAGCAAGGGAUAUUUGUAAUGCAUUCUAUCGAGAGAUAAAUUGGAAGUGUGAUGCUUCUCUGCUUGAGGAUGUUCUUACAGAGUGUAUGAAACAAUUGGAGUGUCCGUUUCUGGUAAUCAAAGAUGAUGAUAUCUAUGAAGAAGGCCCGUACCGUUGGAUUUCAGUCACAUGGAGGAAUACAGAACUUCUUGGUAUGCAAACUAUACCUGCAAUGACAAAAUCUUUCUUCUUGGCCUUUGAAAGAUCUGACCAUCCACAAACUUUACCAAAUGGAUUCUUUGAACAUUCAAGCAAGCUUGGUGUGCUAGUUCUCUGUUGGUGUGCCUUCAGUUUUGCAUCACCCUCUUUCUUGAAGUGCCCUCGACUAAGAUUCCUCGGAUUGGACCACUGUACAGAUAAGAAAACAAUAGGAGACAAUCAUACAGAGUGGUUAUGUUUGUAUAGCUUGUGGGUCCUGGACCUACAAUACACAAACUGGAAUGAAAUCUUAUCCGAAGAAAAGAUGGAUCUCAUGACUAAUGUCAAAGAGCUGAAUAUAGAGGGAGUCAUGGGCUGGCAGUACAUAGCUCACCUACAAUGCCGGUUACUUAACCUCCAGAGGCUCCGAAUAAUCAAACCAACAUGUCAAUGGGAGACAUCGCAGGAUGUUGAUAACUCCUUUACAGAUAAGGCAAGUAUGGAUGCCAUCCGUGGGUGCGCGUGGCAAUGGCGAGAAGAAGCCAGCCGUCGAGAUCGAGAAGGACGUGUGGGACGCUCUGGAGUGGGACGCCGGUCACCGCCCCGACCACUUUGA